RNAcentral lists this ribosomal RNA (484 nucleotides) under uncultured bacterium. Its description in RNAcentral is "partial 16S ribosomal RNA". It matches the Rfam family "Bacterial small subunit ribosomal RNA", at positions 30 to 507 of the family's 1533-position model. The record is from RNAcentral.
AUUGAACGCUGGCGGCAUGCUUUACACAUGCAAGUCGAACGGCAGCACGGGCUUCGGCCUGGUGGCGAGUGGCGAACGGGUGAGUAAUAUAUCGGAACGUACCCAGAAGUGGGGGAUAACGUAGCGAAAGUUACGCUAAUACCGCAUACGAUCUAUGGAUGAAAGCAGGGGACCGCAAGGCCUUGUGCUCCUGGAGCGGCCGAUAUCUGAUUAGCUAGUUGGUGAGGUAAAGGCUCACCAAGGCGACGAUCAGUAGCUGGUCUGAGAGGACGACCAGCCACACUGGAACUGAGACACGGUCCAGACUCCUACGGGAGGCAGCAGUGGGGAAUUUUGGACAAUGGGCGCAAGCCUGAUCCAGCAAUGCCGCGUGAGUGAAGAAGGCCUUCGGGUUGUAAAGCUCUUUUGUCAGGGAAGAAACGGUAGAGGCUAAUACCCUUUGCUAAUGACGGUACCUGAAGAAUAAGCACCGGCUAACUACGUG